UUACAAAUAGUGUUUAUAUUAUAGCAUAGAACAUUAUAACAAAUCUCAAACCGAACACAUCCCACAAGGAACUUACAUGAAGAAUGAGUGUCGAACCUAUUCACGGUAAGGUUUUCGUUAGGGUUUGUAGCUUCAUUCAUGAAGUUGAGUUUGAAAUACUUGAAGUAUAAAAACAUAGAGAUUUUGUUCAAAGAGUUCUAAAAGGGAUUUCAGAAAGAAGGGAUUUCAAUAAUAUUUCUAAGAGAUUUAGAAGAAAGAAGAUUAAGUGAGAGACUCAAUAAUAGGUGAAUGUAAUUAUUUCUAUAUGUUUCAUUUGUUCUUUAGUAAAUUAGGUUUUGAGAUUGUAAUUUGUAAAUAACAAGAUUUGAUAUAAUGAAAGUUUUUACAUU
Humulus lupulus (European hop) is the source of this 389-nucleotide long non-coding RNA. RefSeq lists it as uncharacterized. NCBI's taxonomy places the organism in Eukaryota, Viridiplantae, Streptophyta, Magnoliopsida, Rosales, Cannabaceae. The record is from RefSeq and is a predicted model, not a curated record. The transcript has 2 exons.